Molecule: ribosomal RNA, 245 nt
Filed under: uncultured bacterium
Lineage: Bacteria
Description: partial 16S ribosomal RNA
Rfam family: Bacterial small subunit ribosomal RNA
Source: RNAcentral
UAGGUGGCAAGCGUUAUCCGGAAUUAUUGGGUGUAAAGGGUGUGUAGGCGGGAUUGUAAGUCAGAUGUGAAAAUUAUGGGCUCAACCCAUAAAUUGCAUUUGAAACUGCAGUUCUUGAGUGUGGGAGAGGUAAAUGGAAUUCCCGGUGUAGCGGUGGAAUGCGUAGAUAUCGGGAGGAACACCAGUGGCGAAGGCGAUUUACUGGACCACAACUGACGCUGAGACACGAAAGCGUGGGGAGCAAA